RNAcentral lists this ribosomal RNA (548 nucleotides) under uncultured bacterium. Its description in RNAcentral is "bacterial SSU rRNA". It matches the Rfam family "Bacterial small subunit ribosomal RNA", at positions 274 to 820 of the family's 1533-position model. The record is from RNAcentral.
CGACGAUGCGUAGGGGUUCUGAGAGGAAGGUCCCCCACACUGGUACUGAGACACGGACCAGACUCCUACGGGAGGCAGCAGUGAGGAAUAUUGGUCAAUGGGCGGGAGCCUGAACCAGCCAAGUCGCGUGAGGGAUGACGGCCCUAUGGGUUGUAAACCUCUUUUGCCGGGGAGCAAAGUGCCGCACGUGUGCGGUUUGGAGAGUACCCGGAGAAAAAGCAUCGGCUAACUCCGUGCCAGCAGCCGCGGUAAUACGGAGGAUGCGAGCGUUAUCCGGAUUUAUUGGGUUUAAAGGGUGCGUAGGCGGACGCUUAAGUCAGCGGUAAAAUUGCGGGGCUCAACCUCGUCGAGCCGUUGAAACUGGGUGCCUUGAGUGGGCGAGAAGUACGCGGAAUGCGUGGUGUAGCGGUGAAAUGCAUAGAUAUCACGCAGAACUCCGAUUGCGAAGGCAGCGUACCGGCGCCCAACUGACGCUGAAGCACGAAGGCGUGGGUAUCGAACAGGAUUAGAUACCCUGGUAGUCCACGCAGUAAACGAUGAAUGCUAGU